Long non-coding RNA from Mesocricetus auratus (golden hamster), 1876 nucleotides. RefSeq lists it as uncharacterized. The transcript is spliced from 5 exons. Lineage: Eukaryota; Metazoa; Chordata; Mammalia; Rodentia; Cricetidae. The record is from RefSeq and is a predicted model, not a curated record.
AACAUAUGCACAGAAGACUUCCCCCAUCAAAUACCUACUCCUGCUUCAACUCCAAACUUUGAUGUUGGCUUUUUCACGGCAGGGUCUUUCCCUGAAUGGUGAAGAUUCUGAAUAGCAGAUCUGAUGGCCAAAUGUGGUUCCUGUUCGUAAUGGAGAUGAGAAGAAUUCUAAGCUAAAAACAUCCUCACAGUCCAACAUGGGUGCAGCAUCCAGGGAAAAGAGCAAGAUAUGCCGUGGUUUUACUAUCCCUCCUGAGUCUUCCAGAACAGUGUUUGCCCAGACGACUGUACAUUCUUCUACACGCAGACUAAGGUAAAUGGCAGGACCUGGAUGCUUGCACACCAAAAGAGACUGGCAAGGACAAGAGGCUCGUGGACCGGGUGACAGGCCUAUUUGACUCUUCCAAAGUUGAGACUGACCUGUAGAGAUGUGAUCCUAUUCUGCCAUGAUCUGUCACCUUUGAGAAAUUUAUGUUAACCUGCAUUGAAUGACUACUCACCAUGUGAGAGCAGACUAAGAAACAGUGACAAAAACUUGAUUUGAAAGUUACCAAUUUAAGAUGCCUAUCUUUCCCUCGAUCCUGAAAGAAUCUGGGCAUCUAGGCCAUUGUAUCUCUGUUCAGAUUACUUAGAAGUGGCAAGAGUUGUCGCUACUGCUGGAGGUCAAAGACCACAAUCCUGGCUCUUAGAGCCUUGCUUCUUCCCAGCUCACUCUGUGUUGGAGUUGUCUCUGGAUCCAGCCCCUGCAUCAGUGAAAGACCAUAGCCACCACACAAUAUUUCUGCCUUCCUAUAGGUGGCAGGUAAGCUCUGUUUUACUCCCAUGAUGCACAGGAGGAAACUGCAGCCCCUAAAUGUUGAGUGAAUGAUUCAGAGAUGAUGAGUCAUACCAUUGGAUAUUACAGUGUCAUUGCAAGUGUAAUCAUUAGUCAAUAAGCUGCAAAAUCACUCAAGAUGGUGGCCACGCCAGUUUAACAUAGGACUGGGUGAAGAUGACAGCCACAGCAUUUCACAUAGGACCAGAGAACUCUCUUGGGAUAAAAGAUCCUCAGAGCUAAAAUUGGGACAUUCCCAGGCAAAUCAGGAUGGCUGGUUACCCUAGGGUUCUGACUUCAGAAACCGUAAUGCUGAUUAAAUGUUCCCCUCGUUACUAUAAAAUAUGUAGUAUUCCCUACAAUAUGUAGGCAGCCGUGUUCCCCAGGAUCCUCACUUCUUUUUGCCGUGACUGCAAUCAAAUCAGUGGGUGCAUUCACCAUUGCAUUUGCUGUGAGGUUCUCACUGGAGAUUACAGCCUGUAGACUCUUCUGGGCCACAGGAAAUCGAAAGGCUGACAACUCCGUAUUUCUGUGGCUUUCUGGGCUCCAACCCUAUUGGAUUUCUAGGAAAAAUGGUUACUUUUCCUCUUUGGUGAUGAUUGUGCUUAAAAUUCAACAGUCCUCCAGAUUUAGAGAAUGACAAGGUCUUGAUGAGGAGAUAAUUGAGGCCUCCAGGCAUUUAAAUCCCUCCAAUAUCCUGAGUUUGAUUCUUGACAGGUGAUAAUGUUUUUAUUAAGGCCUGUGGUGGCAAACCAUGUUACUUUAUUAUAUUCUAUUAUGGCAGUCUUUUUUACAAUUCGGGACCAUACUUAUUAGUGGACCAUAAGUCAAUGCAGUAAGCCAAACCGGUCAUUUUGAAAAUUACAUUUGAGAUGACUAGACUAGACUAGAUUAUUACAAUUAGGAGUACACUGGAUAUAGUGAGCCUCGAUGUUGUUUCAUGAGAUAUUUGUUACUAUCUUAUAUGUGUGUGUAUGUUCAUAUGCAGGUAUGUGAAUAAUAAGAAAGUGUAGGGGCUUGAUAAGUAUGUAUUAGUUUUUAAAAUUAAAACACAAUAGUGUAA